This 205-nucleotide long non-coding RNA is filed under the name Elaeis guineensis (African oil palm). RNAcentral describes it as "long non-coding RNA (EGUI_LNC032630)". The record is from RNAcentral. Lineage: Eukaryota; Viridiplantae; Streptophyta; Magnoliopsida; Arecales; Arecaceae.
GAGUGGAUUUUGGGUCUAUAAAAGCGAGUACAUGGAGAAUAGGAAGUAGCAGCUGAAAGCACCCGAGGGAUAGAGAAUGGGUUAAGGUAGCAACUUGGAGCAACAGAAAGUGUUCAGGGGCAUUAGAGGACCCUAAUAUGGUAGGCCUGAGUCUCUUUUAGAUUUUUAUGAGAGCUUUUGUAAGGAAUGAGAGGUGAGAGCUUCU